UACGUAGGGGGCAAGCGUUGUCCGGAAUCAUUGGGCGUAAAGAGCGUGUAGGCGGCCCGAUAAGUCCGCUGUGAAAGUCCAGGGCUCAACCCUGGAAUGCCGGUGGAUACUGUCGGGCUAGAGUCCGGAAGAGGCGAGUGGAAUUCCUGGUGUAGCGGUGAAAUGCGCAGAUAUCAGGAGGAACACCAACGGCGAAGGCAGCUCGCUGGGACGGUACUGACGCUGAGACGCGAAAGCGUGGGGAGCAAACAGG
RNAcentral lists this ribosomal RNA (253 nucleotides) under uncultured bacterium. Its description in RNAcentral is "partial 16S ribosomal RNA". It matches the Rfam family "Bacterial small subunit ribosomal RNA", at positions 524 to 776 of the family's 1533-position model. The record is from RNAcentral.